AGCGAACGCUGGCGGCAGGCUUAACACAUGCAAGUCGAGCGGACCUUUCGGGGUCAGCGGCGGGCGGGUGAGUAACGCGUGGGAACGUGCCUUCCGGUUCGGAAUAACCCUGGGAAACUAGGGCUAAUACCGGAUACGCCCUUAUGGGGAAAGGUUUACUGCCGGAAGAUCGGCCCGCGUCUGAUUAGCUAGUUGGUGGGGUAACGGCCUACCAAGGCGACGAUCAGUAGCUGGUCUGAGAGGAUGAUCAGCCACACUGGGACUGAGACACGGCCCAGACUCCUACGGGAGGCAGCAGUGGGGAAUAUUGGACAAUGGGCGCAAGCCUGAUCCAGCCAUGCCGCGUGAGUGAUGAAGGCCUUAGGGUUGUAAAGCUCUUUUAUCCGGGACGAUAAUGACGGUACCGGAGGAAUAAGCCCCGGCUAACUUCGUG
Molecule: ribosomal RNA, 433 nt
Filed under: uncultured bacterium
Lineage: Bacteria
Description: partial 16S ribosomal RNA
Rfam family: Bacterial small subunit ribosomal RNA
Source: RNAcentral